This is an RNA transcript of Suricata suricatta (meerkat), 2056 nucleotides long. It is a transcript of the gene named lipase I, with no coding region annotated. NCBI's taxonomy places the organism in Eukaryota, Metazoa, Chordata, Mammalia, Carnivora, Herpestidae. The transcript is spliced from 14 exons. The record is from RefSeq and is a predicted model, not a curated record.
AUGAAUUUCAGAAUUUCUUUUGCGUUGAAUCUGAGAGCUGCUUUUACUUUGACUGGAUUCCAAAUGAAAGUAUACAUUUUUCUUUGUUUGAUGUGCUGGGCAAGAUCUGAGAAUGAAAGACCAUGCCUUGAAUUCUCUCAUCUAAACAUAUUGGAUUCCAUCAAAGACUUGUUUAUUCCCAAAACAAACGUUGUUUUGAUGCUGUAUACAAGGAACAGCCGUUCCUGUGCUGAGCCACUCUUUGAGCAGGAUAACUCACUUAAUGUUAAUUUCAAUACAAGCAAGAAGACAGUCUGGCUUAUUCAUGGAUACAGACCAACGGGCUCCACUCCUGUAUGGCUUCAGAAUCUUCUAAAGGUGUUGUUGACUCAUGAGGAUCUGAAUGUAAUUGUAGUAGACUGGAACCGGGGUGCUACAACUUUUAUCUACAACAGAGCAGUUAAAAACACCAGAAAAGUUGCUGCAUGUUUGGGUACAUACAUUCAGACUCUUUUGAGCCAUGGAGCGUCUCUUGAUACUUUUCAUUUUAUAGGUAUGAGCUUAGGGGCUCAUCUUAGUGGAUUUGUUGGAAAAAUAUUUCAAGGCCAAGUUGGAAGAAUAACAGGUCUUGACCCAGCUGGGCCAAGGUUCUCUGGACAACCAUGUAAUGAAAGAUUAGAUUACACCGAUGCAAAGUUUGUGGAUGUCAUCCAUUCUGAUACUGAUGGUUUAGGCAUUAAGGAACCCUUGGGACAUAUAGAUUUUUAUCCAAAUGGAGGAAAAAAGCAACCUGGCUGCCCUACAUCCAUUUUUUCAGGCAUUGCGUAUAUUAAAUGCGAUCACCAGAGAGCUGUUUACUUGUUCAUGGCAUCUUUGGAAACAACCUGCCAUUUUAUUUCAUUUCCUUGUUCUUCAUACAAAGAUUUCCUAGCUGGUUCAUGUGUGGACUGUGAUGACUUCCAGGAAAAAUCAUGUCCUUGGCUAGGUAAUAGAGCUGAGCGAUGGAAAGAUAUUUUAAAAGAAAGAAAAGAAAAAAAAUUUCUCAGGAACACUGUGUUUUUGGAUACUACUGGCACAAGACCAUUCUGUAGCUAUUAUUUUGUUCUCAGUAUAACUGCUCUGGAUAACAGUAUGAAAAAUGGCUUUAUUACAUUUAAAUUAUUAAACCAGGUUGGAAUGGUUGAAGAGCCAAAGAUUUAUGAGAAGAAAAGAUCAUUUUAUCAACUUCAAGAAGUCAAGAUUCUUGCUCAAUUUUCAAAUGAUGUUAUAAGUAUUUUAGGCAUUGGUUUGGGAUAUUUUCAGAACUCAAAUCAGCAAUGUUCCCAAUGCAAUUACAACAUUCACCGUGUCAUGGUACAAUCACUUACCAAUCCAGAAAGACCACCACUCUGCAUAUACAAUUUUGUACUUAAAGGAAAUGAGGAAGUAUUUCUCAGUCCAAGCACAUGCACAUCAGAGGAUUUGCUCCACAGUGAUGACCUUUGCCUGAUAAGCCAUUUGAAGAUUAAUUGGGGCCAUUGUUGCCCAUCUGGAGAACACUGAUGUGUGAAGACUCUUGGUGUACUAGAUGCGUGUUCCAGGCAGAAACAAGAAGAAGCCUCCUCACUUUUUGUCCAGAUAAAAGCAGAGAAGGGAAGAAGGCUGUGACUCCUUUGACCUCAAGUUCAUAGUCCUGUUAUGGAUGCUCGCUGAAGACGUAAGACUUCUGGCUCAGAGGGGAAAACAACAACCACCACCACCACAAUUGCUCAUAGCAACAGCACAGCUGGAGCACACAGCUCUCCCAGGACAACACAAAGGGGCUAAGUGGAGUAAGGUGGAACUGGCUUUUGAGAAAAAGUAUCUCAACAGAAAUGCCCAUGAAGUAUCAUCCCUUAAUGGCAAGAGCUGCCUGGACAUCAGAAUACCUAAGUGGGAAAAAAGAACUCAGGUUGUACCAACUACUAUGGUAUUAGGAACAAAGGUAGACUCAACGUGGAAUACCUACGUUCAAGGUUAUCAAGCAAGAGGUAAGGAAUCCAGUCCAUGAAUGUUCCUAUAUCUGAGCCAAAAGAGCCUGAGAAUGGGAUUCUUUUUG